UAAUACGUAGAAGGCAAGCGUUACCCGGAUUUACUGGGCGUAAAGAGGGCGCAGGCGGUUUUUCAAGUCGAAUGUAAAAUCUCCCGGCUUAACUGGGAGGGACCAUUCGAUACUGUUGGGCUGGAGGGCAGCAGAAGGAGGUGGAAUUCCCGGUGUAGUGGUGAAAUGCGUAGAUAUCGGGAGGAACACCAGUGGCGAAGGCGGCCUCCUAGGCUGUUUCUGACGCUGAGGCCCGAAAGCGUGGGGAGCGAACAGGAUUAGAUACCCUGGUAGUCCACGCCAUAAACUAUGGACACUAGGUAUAGGGAGUAUCGACCCUCUCUGUGCUGAAGUUAACACGUUAAGUGUCCCGCCUGGGGAUUACGGCCGCAAGGCUA
Molecule: ribosomal RNA, 377 nt
Filed under: uncultured bacterium
Lineage: Bacteria
Description: bacterial SSU rRNA
Rfam family: Bacterial small subunit ribosomal RNA
Source: RNAcentral